Molecule: long non-coding RNA, 417 nt
Organism: Oncorhynchus tshawytscha (Chinook salmon)
Lineage: Eukaryota; Metazoa; Chordata; Actinopteri; Salmoniformes; Salmonidae
Source: Ensembl
AGAGAGAGAGAGGGGGUGAGACAGACAGAGAGCGAGAGGGGGUGAGAUACAGAGAGAGGGGGGGUGAGACAGACAGAGAGCGAGAGGGGGGGUGAGAUACAGAGAGAGGGGGUGAGACAGACAGAGAGCGAGAGAGGGGGUGAGAUACAGAGAGAGGGGGGUGAGACAGACAGAGCGCGAGAGGGGGUGAGAUACUGAGAGAGGGGGUGAGACAGACAGAGAGAGGGGGUGAGAUACAGAGAAAGGGGGGAUGAGACAGACAGAGAGCGAGAGGGGAUGAGAUACAGAGAGCGAGAGAGGGGGUGAGAUACAGAGAGAGAGAGGGGGUGAGAUACAGAGAGAGAGGGGGGGGUGAGAUACAGAGAGAGGGGGUGAGACAGACAGAGAGCGAGAGGGGGUGAGAUACAGAGAGAGGGG